Molecule: long non-coding RNA, 2650 nt
Organism: Numida meleagris (helmeted guineafowl)
Lineage: Eukaryota; Metazoa; Chordata; Aves; Galliformes; Numididae
Exons: 4
Source: RefSeq, a predicted model, not a curated record
UGGCCACUGAAGGGAGAGCAUUGCUUGGGGCUAGGCUGCUUCCUGAGGAGGAGUGCUGCGCAGCCAGAGAGCCCCUUCACCAGCUGGGUCUCAAGUGCCUCUUCAAAUACAAGUCCAAAUGACAGGAGUCCAGGAGUUUGGAAGUUAUUAGAGAGCACAGGCUGUGAUGCUUGAUGCAGAGCACAAACAGAGCUUGUGGCUGCCGCUGGGUGAAUGUUCCUGCUUAUUGCCAAGCCCUGCAGCCAGUCCUGGGGUGCCUUCCUGUGACUCCCACCCUGCACAGGUUCGGAGUGGUGGAGCAUAUGUGCGUGGGGACGUUUGCCUGUGUGACGUGAUGCAAAGGUUGCUGGAUUUUGGGGUCAGUCCUCAAGAUAAGUUGCUUUAUUUUGUGGCUGGUGGAGCUUUGCUGUUUUACUCCCAGGUUGAACACGGCCCCCUGGUUUUGUGUGCCCACCCUCAGUACUGCUGUUAGCAGGGUUGGUGACCAGUCAACUUUGCUCCCUGGAGAUGCUGGUGGGAGGAGGACCUUCCCAUCUGCUGCCUCAGUAGAUCUGUUCUUGUUCCCUUCUUGUGCUCCUCCAGCAACCGAUGGCACAGGUGCCAGCUUCUAUUUAGAAUUCCCUACUGGGAUGGUUGGUAAAUGUUACCUGCUACAGCUGCACUUGGCCCACCUUGCUUGUAACUGAGUACUGGGAGGGUGAGAUCAGCCACUGAGGCAGAUGCAGUUCUUGGGCAGCUCAUUGCAGCUGAUAAUUUUAAGACCUUUAUUGCAGACAAUCGAUAUGCAGAAUUGUAGUCCUCGUGUAGAUGUUUUAUUUCGGUUUUUGCUUCCUCUGGCAGUCUCAUCUGAAUUACUAUACAGCUGAAUAGCUGCUGACUGCAGCCACAUAGGCGUUGGUUGCGAUGUAACGCUUGGCCUCUGGGCAGACCUGCAGCAAUUUUUAAACACGAGAAUGGAGAUGGGAUGCUGACGCACAGUCACAACUCUCACUUACAGGGAAUCUCUGCUUUCAGCAGAAUUAAAAGGGCAGAUGGGGUAUGAGCAUCUUCCAAAUCCAGUCUCGCUGAAAAGGGAAUUAGCAAGAUCAUUAAACUGCCUCAUUAUUACCAUGGUAAUUACAAGAUUAACACACUUCACUUCAGGAUCUCUAAUUUGUUUUGUAAUAUAAGCAAGAUGGGGAGAUGAUUUGGCUAUAUUUGAAGUCUUGGGACAGAUAGUGUCUGAGGAAUAGGUAGGGGGUUAGCUGCACAGAAUGAUGCAUAUCAAGUAGAUAUCAAACAGCUACAUAUGCUAAUAUGUGAUGUAUAUGUGAGCUGCAAAGAUCAUUUAUUCCGGAGAGCGGGAAGUAGAUGCUAGGUUUGAUCAGAUUAUCAAAGGUACCUGAGGAUCUGUCAAGCACAGCUCUUCCAUGUUCUUCUGAAACCUGAACAUGAAAAGACAAGGCAGAAAUGGGUCUGACGUUACUAAUGAUGACAAGAUCUGCAGAUCCUUCCCUGGCACUCCUUGCUGAUUUUUCCCUUAAGGAGCCCUGGUGGGCGUCCUCUGCUGCUGAAGGUGCGGGCCAGGUGCUGCCUGGUCCUUUUGCUUGUGGGUCCUUAGCAGCAGGGCACCAUUACAAACUUGAAUUGGUCACAAGAGGAUGUAACACCAGUGUGUUGGUUUUGGGGCAGAGAGAGACUGCAGCUGGUGAGCACAAGUGGUGUGGGAAACAUUGAGGAAAACUGCUGCACAGCGGAUGAAAAUUACAAUGUCCUCUCCUCCAGGAAACUGCUUAUUUCUACACAGCUGCUGGAUUUUCUACCUCCAGAGUUAUAAACCAGCAUCUUGACUUGAAUCCCUAUUUUUCUUCUCUUGCUGUUAUUUAUUGCUGUGACUUACUGUUUGGUAUCCAUUUAUGCACAGUUUCAUACAAGAGCUCUGUUAUUUUAGUUUGGUUAGAAGAGAGUUUUUAGGUGCUUGUUUAAAGCUUGCUCUGACUGUGUUGAGAUCUGCCCAGUGGCAGAUAAAUCAGGCCCACGCCGCACAAGGCUGGGACAGAAACACUGUUCCUUCAGCUUGGGCUGGUGAUGCCAGCAAGAGCCCCAGCAGCAGCAGGCUCCAAGCAGCACCCUUGCUCCAGCCCAGGGGCUGUGGCCUUUCCAUAUCUAACAUUUGAGCAGCAGAUGGAGCAAAGGACCAGAAAAAUGCUUGCUGGAUCACUGUGCUCCAAGGAGGGAAGGAGCCUGCUGCAGCAGUGGUUUUGCCGUUUAGCAUCAUAGCCUGGAAAGGACCGUGUGUCUUAGCUGUGGUCAUCUUGGUGUGCUUCCCCUCACCAUGCGAAGAGCCCACUGAGCUCGCCUCUCUUCAUCCAGCAGUCACAACAGAAGAAAAUGAGCCCAAAUGGGCACCAGGUGCUCAUCUCCUGCACUGCCAACAGCAUCUGGAUGGGACAGUACAAGCGGGAGGGCUGUCUGAAGGGUGAUAGGCAGUCAUUGCUUCCGCUCUGAUUGUAACAAAACAAAUUGUUGCUGGGAGCAACGCUGGCUUCUGCUUCCCAAGUUCCAGCAUGUGGAGCUGAGUGAUUAUGAAGAGCUAACAAUUCCUGUUAAGAAGCGAUCAUAUCUCAGAAAGGCUGGGAAAUGUAAACUUUCAGGAUUUAGAAAACGUAGU